Molecule: ribosomal RNA, 520 nt
Filed under: uncultured Paraglomus
Lineage: Eukaryota; Fungi; Glomeromycota; Glomeromycetes; Paraglomerales; Paraglomeraceae
Description: bacterial SSU rRNA
Rfam family: Eukaryotic small subunit ribosomal RNA
Source: RNAcentral
AGCAGCCGCGGUAAUUCCAGCUCCAAUAGCGUAUAUUAAAGUUGUUGCAGUUAAAAAGCUCGUAGUUGAACUUCAGGCCUGGCUGGACGGUCCGCCCUCUGGGUGAGCACUGUCUGUGGUCGGGUCCUACCUUCUGGCGAAGCGGCAUGGCCUUAACCGGCCGUGGCGGGGAACCAGGACUUUUACUGUGAAAAAAUUGAGUGUUCAAAGCAGGCACGCGCUUGAAUACAUUAGCAUGGAAUAAUGGAAUAGGACAAUGGUUCUAUUUGUUGGUUUCUAGGACCGUUGUAAUGAUUAAUAGGGAUAGUUGGGGGCAUUAGUAUUCAAUUGUCAGAGGUGAAAUUCUUGGAUUUAUUGAAGACUAACUACUGCGAAAGCAUUUGCCAAGGAUGUUUUCAUUAAUCAAGAACGAAGUUAGGGAUCGAAGACGAUCAGAUACCGUCGUAGUCUUAACCAUAAACUAUGACCGACUAGGAAUCGAAGACGAUAGUUUAAUUUUUUAAUGUACUCGUUUUGGCUA